RNAcentral lists this ribosomal RNA (292 nucleotides) under uncultured bacterium. Its description in RNAcentral is "partial 16S ribosomal RNA". It matches the Rfam family "Bacterial small subunit ribosomal RNA", at positions 505 to 796 of the family's 1533-position model. The record is from RNAcentral.
GUGUCAGCCGCCGCGGUAAUACGUAGGAUGCAAGCGUUGUCCGGAUUUACUGGGCGUAAAGCGCGCGCAGGCGGCACAGUAAGUACGUCGUGAAAUAUCCCGGCUCAACCGGGAGGGUGCGAUGUAGACUGCUGAGCUUGAGGUCGGUAGAGGGGGGUGGAAUUGCUGGUGUAGCGGUGAAAUGCGUAGAGAUCAGCAGGAACACCCGUGGCGAAGGCGGCCCCCUGGGCCGUACCUGACGCUGAGGCGCGAAGGCUAGGGGAGCGAACGGGAUUAGAUACCCCGGUAGUCC